UUAACUUAUUCGGUUGUUACUCGGACGUACGGAUACAGAGUUGGUGUGGUCCACCGGGGGCCCCGACGCCCGAGAGGGCCGGGUCGCCCCCGAGGCAACAGAGUCGGAUAUCAAAGGGUUGGAGGUUGGGCCCAGAGGACCCUCGCUCGGUAAUGAUCCCUCCGCAGGUUCACCUACGGAGA
Molecule: unclassified non-coding RNA, 182 nt
Filed under: uncultured fungus
Lineage: Eukaryota; Fungi
Description: sequence contains ITS1
Source: RNAcentral